CCUACGUUUUUUUUUUUCAAAUAAAAAAACGUUUUUAUAUUUGUCAUAGUCAUCACCUUAGCCUUAUCAAUUAUUAAAGCAAUCCACUCUUGUCCAUAUUUAUUUAUAUUUGCAGCAUCUCAGGAUCUGAAAUCCCGGGAAACGAUAACGUUUGAUUCUUUCCAAGGCAGAAAUGGAUGAGCUCAAGCUAAAACCAGCAAACUCGUGUCCUCUCACCCCAUUAACUUUCUUGGAAAGGGCAGCAACUGUCUAUGGUGAUUGCCCCUCUAUCAUCUACAACAACACCUCUUACACCUGGUCUCACACCC
This 308-nucleotide unclassified non-coding RNA is filed under the name Hevea brasiliensis (rubber tree). The record is from RNAcentral. Lineage: Eukaryota; Viridiplantae; Streptophyta; Magnoliopsida; Malpighiales; Euphorbiaceae.